UUUCCCUCCCGCACUGUUUAGUCCGGGGUCUGGGGACCGUCUCUACACGCACUACAACACUCUCCACGACACCUGAUCGCCGCCACUGUUACCCCUUUAGUCUGGAACACAACAAGGACUCAAUAUCCUUCAACACUGCAGUUGGACAGUUUAAGGCAGAGCAGCAAAAUAUGUCACAAGGCUCCUGGUGGCUGAUUCAGGACUCAUGGCCUUAGACCAACAGAUGGAGUCCAUCUUCUAACAGAACCUGGAACCAGCAGUCUCUUUGCUUGGUGUUUUGCUCUGACUUGUACCAAGAUGAAUAUGUUGCAAAUUUACCAAUCUCAGAAAGAAAAAGGUACUUGUAGGGACAUUACCGGAACUGUGACAAGUUUCACUUGCCUAAGCAAUUGUAUCUGCCCAGCAGGAACAUGGUAAACACUGGGUUUUAGUUUUCAAGGAAAAGGAAACUCUAAAAUUUUACAGUUUUCCCAAUGAAACACUGGAGAUCAAGAAGCAUGCUUGAUUUGUCCAAGUAACUUGGUAUCAUCACUUCUUUUUAAAUUGUUAUGUAGCAUAAGUCUCCCCGUUUGCCCCUAUGGCAUCUCUUCACUGUCCCUUCCUUUCCAUUCCCAUUCCUGGGGUGUUUUCUUGCCUCUGUUGCUACUGGCCUAUCUGUAUCCAGUCAAAACCAUCUUCUACAUAGCCACCCGAGGGGUUUUCCUAAACAGAAAUUGUGUUAUGUCAUUCCACUUUGUAAAAUCCUUCAACCUUUAAGUCCUAGCUCUUUAAAUGGCAAUCAAGGGCCUGGUCCUUUGAGAAAGUAAAAAGCAUCACUGGCAGCUAGCUAUUCCCAACUGAAGCCAAGCUGUGCUCACAGGGCAAGGAUGAGACAACUUCACUUCGCGACCAUAUCUGAAACAGAGACGAGGAUACUCUGCAACUACAAAAUGACUAUCCUAUCUCCCUCUCCCCGCUAAGAUGGAAGACUUCACUGUGGAUGAUAUUAGUCCCAUUUUAUCCUUCUAUCUCCUGGAUAAAAUGAUUAAACAUCCAAUUACCAAAUCACCCCUGCUUGUAAUGGCCCUCAAUACAGAACAGGCCUAUAUUUUCUUGGAUGCUGUUUAGAAUCACCCAGCAAGAUCCCAAAUCCUGUAAUGAGCCCUUCCUAACUCUCCAUUACAGAGCUAUUCCAUGGACCUUCUGCUGAUCAUUCUCUGUUGCUACAAUGAGCUAAAUAAAUUUGUCCUUUU
Molecule: long non-coding RNA, 1232 nt
Organism: Canis lupus familiaris (dog)
Lineage: Eukaryota; Metazoa; Chordata; Mammalia; Carnivora; Canidae
Exons: 3
Source: RefSeq, a predicted model, not a curated record